GUGGGGAAUAUUGGACAAUGGGGGGAACCCUGAUCCAGCCAUGCCGCGUGUGUGAAGAAGGCCUUUUGGUUGUAAAGCACUUUAAGUGGGGAGGAGGCUUACCUGGUUAAUACCUGGGCUAAGUGGACGUUACCCACAGAAUAAGCACCGGCUAACUCUGUGCCAGCAGCCGCGGUAAUACAGAGGGUGCGAGCGUUAAUCGGAUUUACUGGGCGUAAAGCGCGCGUAGGUGGUUAAUUAAGUCAAAUGUGAAAUCCCCGAGCUUAACUUGGGAAUUGCAUUCGAUACUGGUUGGCUAGAGUAUGGGAGAGGAUGGUAGAAUUCCAGGUGUAGCGGUGAAAUGCGUAGAGAUCUGGAGGAAUACCGAUGGCGAAGGCAGCCAUCUGGCCUAAUACUGACACUGAGGUGCGAAAGCAUGGGGAGCAAACAGGAUUAGAAACCCCAGUAGUCC
RNAcentral lists this ribosomal RNA (451 nucleotides) under uncultured bacterium. RNAcentral's name for it is "partial 16S ribosomal RNA". It matches the Rfam family "Bacterial small subunit ribosomal RNA", at positions 354 to 796 of the family's 1533-position model. The record is from RNAcentral.